This 424-nucleotide ribosomal RNA is filed under the name Verrucomicrobiota bacterium. RNAcentral describes it as "Verrucomicrobia bacterium partial 16S ribosomal RNA". It matches the Rfam family "Bacterial small subunit ribosomal RNA", at positions 355 to 776 of the family's 1533-position model. Lineage: Bacteria; Pseudomonadati; Verrucomicrobiota. The record is from RNAcentral.
UGAGGAAUAUUGGUCAAUGGACGAGAGUCUGAACCAGCCAAGUAGCGUGCAGGAUGACGGCCCUAUGGGUUGUAAACUGCUUUUGUUUGGGAAUAAUCGACAUUACGUGUAAUGUUUUGCAUGUACCAUUCGAAUAAGGACCGGCUAAUUCCGUGCCAGCAGCCGCGGUAAUACGGAAGGUCCAGGCGUUAUCCGGAUUUAUUGGGUUUAAAGGGAGUGUAGGCGGUUGGUUAAGCGUGUUGUGAAAUGUAGAUGCUCAACAUCUGACUUGCAGCGCGAACUGGCUGACUUGAGUACACACAACGUAGGCGGAAUUCAUGGUGUAGCGGUGAAAUGCUUAGAUAUCAUGAAGAACGCCGAUUGCGAGGGCAGCUUACGGGAGUGUUACUGACGCUUAAGCUGGAAGGUGCGGGUAUCGAACAGG